CCUACGGGAGGCUGCAGUGAGGAAUAUUGGUCAAUGGGAGAGAUCCUGAACCAGCCAAGCCGCGUGAGGGAAGAAGGACCUAUGGGUUGUAAACCUCUUUUGUCGGGGAACAAAACCCGGGACGUGUCCCGGACUGCGUGUAUCCGAAGAAAACGCAUCGGCUAACUCCGGGCCAGCAGCCGCGGUAAUACGGAGGAUGCGAGCGUUAUCCGGUGUUAUUGGGGUAAAGGGGUGGGUAGGGGGACCGUUAAGUCUGCGGGAAAAUGGCGGGGCUCAACCCCGUCGAGCCGUUGAAACUGGGAAGCUAGAGUUGGCGAGAGGUACGCGGAAUUCGCGGUGUAGCGGUGAAAUGCAUAGAUAUCGCGAAGAACUCCGGUUGCGAAGGCAGCGUACCGGCGCCAGACUGACGCUGAGGCACGAAAGCGUGGGGAGCGAACAGGAUUAGAUACCCGAGUAGUC
RNAcentral lists this ribosomal RNA (459 nucleotides) under uncultured bacterium. Its description in RNAcentral is "partial 16S ribosomal RNA". It matches the Rfam family "Bacterial small subunit ribosomal RNA", at positions 338 to 795 of the family's 1533-position model. The record is from RNAcentral.